AUGUAAGUGAAACAUACUGUUAUCUAGAAAAUUGACAAAAACAGAUAAAAACAGUAGAAGCAGCAUUAGCUUGUGGUAAAUGUUGAUAAAAGAUUACCAUCUGCUCUUUGGGGCGUCUGCCAUUUGCAGAUGCAACAACACGGAUAGAGUAAAUGUGAAUUGAGUAAAUGAGAGUUGGCAGCUAUGUUCAGGAAAAGACCAGCUAUGGGAUUUGCAUUCGUGCUAAACGCCAGACUAGUGAAAUUUGGGGGUGGGUUUUAGAUGGGACUUACUCGUGUUAGCAGUGGAUUACAAUGCGAUGAAGCACCAAAAGUUUGUUCCUGCAAGACUGAUGUGGAAGGUGACAGUGUGGCAUAUGUGUACAGUGCCCUGACCGUUGCUGUCAUGUGUUAGAAGAUGAACAGGACUCCAUGGAGGAAUUGUCCUACUACUCCUAUGAGUAUGACCCUGAUGUGGAGCCCUUCCCUCUGGAGAAAGAGGAGCAGUUGGGGCAGACUGGAGAGGAAGUGGAAGCUGCUGAAAUGCUCAAGCCCCUGGACAGACAGCCACCAACAGUGGAUACAAAGGAUUCACCUGAACGAUGAGAGCUUUUCUGGGCGGCAGCGAAGACGAACGCACAUUGUACAUUCUCUGUAAAUACAUUUGUGUGAAAGGAGAAUACAAGGGUUACCCAAAUCUGUUUCAAGAAGAUGGUGGUACUAUGUUGUGUGUAUGUGUAUUUGUGCCUGUGUGAUUGUGUAUGUGUGUGUGUGUGAAAGAGAGCUACUGUCUCUGUCUUCUUUCUACGUGAUAAUGGCCAUCUCUCUCUUUCUCACAAGUGGUUGCCUUAGCUCUUUAUACAGUAUUUAGUGAUAUUAAGUUGUCUCCUUGUAAUCGUCUUGUAAUCUCAUUUGAAUAGUCCAGUAUUUAUGUUUGUAAGUAUAUUUGUUAAAAAACAAAAUGCUAUUUUAUUGUUUUGUUUUCUGUGGUAUUUAUUUAUAGCUAGUGCCUUUGUUUUCUCUGGUUGUUUCCUCUCCCUGUCUAUACAUCUUCCUCCCUUUCCCUCCUGUCCUCCAGUCCUCUCUUUACUCUGCCUGAAUGCAAAAGAUUGACAGCUCACUGCCAAUGCAGGCCUUGCAUUAAAACGUUGAGGUGCUUGACUACUAUCAUUAGGUAAUGGACUCUUCCUCUUGACAACUACCAGAGAAAGGAUACGCAUCUUGGAUAUCAUGGAGAGAGCAGCUGUAAUGACUAACCCCAGAAUAAGCUCAGUUUAAAGCUCACCCUGGCAACCGAUAUAUGUUCCUACACUGUUUAAAUCAGUCGGUCUAUUGGUUGCAGUCCCUACGUUGUGCAGACAGAUUAGACCGUGCAAUGCAUAAGCUGUUUUAAGUUCAGUACUAAGGACUACUGGCCGAAAGUCAACUAUGAAGUUUGAAGAAUCGGUGUAAAUUGAGUAAAUCUGAAUUGAAUGUAACCCCAGUCUCGUCAGGUACAUUCUGUUUCUUGGAAGAAAAAGAACAAGGAAAUAAACAUUGUAUACGAACUUUGACCUUUUUUCCUGUCUUUCUCCAAAGUUUAAUGAGUUUUGAAAAUGUGAGGAUGAAUGCGGUGAAGGGAGCAGCA
Pygocentrus nattereri (red-bellied piranha) is the source of this 1605-nucleotide long non-coding RNA. NCBI's taxonomy places the organism in Eukaryota, Metazoa, Chordata, Actinopteri, Characiformes, Serrasalmidae. The record is from Ensembl.